GAACGCACAUUGCGCCCGCCAGCAUUCUGGCGGGCAUGCCUGUUCGAGCGUCAUUUCAACCCUCGACUUCCCUUUGGGGAAAUCGGCGUUGGGGAACGGCAGCAUACCGCCGGCCCCGAAAUGGAGUGGCGGCCCGUCCGCGGCGACCUCUGCGUAGUAAUCCAACUCGCACCGGAACCCCGACGUGGCCACGCCGUAAAACACCCAACUUCUGAACGUUGACCUCGGAUCAGGUAGGAAUACCCGCUGAACUUAAG
RNAcentral lists this unclassified non-coding RNA (257 nucleotides) under Akanthomyces muscarius. RNAcentral describes it as "sequence contains 5.8S rRNA gene". The stretch from base 1 to 53 matches the Rfam family "5.8S ribosomal RNA", at positions 102 to 154 of the family's 154-position model. Lineage: Eukaryota; Fungi; Ascomycota; Sordariomycetes; Hypocreales; Cordycipitaceae. The record is from RNAcentral.